This 543-nucleotide ribosomal RNA is filed under the name uncultured marine picoplankton. Its description in RNAcentral is "SSU rRNA". It matches the Rfam family "Eukaryotic small subunit ribosomal RNA", at positions 598 to 1146 of the family's 1831-position model. The record is from RNAcentral.
CGUAUACUAAAGUUGUUGCAGUUAAAAAGCUCGUAGUUGAAUUUCUGGAUGUGAAAGGUGGUCGGCACCUCACGGUGUCUGUACUUAUCAUUCGCGUCCAUCCUCGGGAGGAACAUGUGGACACUUAAGUGGGUCUGCUUGGGAAUCCCGUCAUUUACUGUGAGCAAAAUAGAGUGUUCAAAGCAGGCUUAUGCCGUUGAAUAUAUUAGCAUGGAAUAAUAAGAUACGACUUCGGUCUAUUUUGUUGGUUUGCAUUCCGAAGUAAUGAUUAAUAGGGAUAGUUGGGGGUAUUCGUAUUCAAUUGUCAGAGGUGAAAUUCUUGGAUUUAUGGAAGACGAACUACUGCGAAAGCAUUUACCAAGGAUGUUUUCAUUAAUCAAGAACGAAAGUUAGGGGAUCGAAGAUGAUUAGAUACCAUCGUAGUCUUAACCAUAAACUAUGCCGACUAGGGAUUGGUCUUGUUUGUUAUGACUGGAUCAGCACCUUAUGAGAAAUCAAAGUCUUUGGGUUCCGGGGGGAGUAUGGUCGCAAGGCUGAAACUUA